GUCCCCGUAGAUUAGUGGUUAGAUCACCACGUUGUGGUAGAGCAAUUUGCCGAGCAUAACCGUGGUAACCCAGGCUCGAAUCCUGGCAGGGACA
Non-coding RNA from Lentinula lateritia, 94 nucleotides. The record is from the annotation of a GenBank genome assembly. Lineage: Eukaryota; Fungi; Basidiomycota; Agaricomycetes; Agaricales; Omphalotaceae.